UACGGGGGGUGCGAGCGGUAUUCGGAAUUAUUGGGCGUAAAGGGCGCGCAGGCGGUUGAAUAAGUCAGGUGUGAAAGUCCUUGGCUUAACCAAGGAAGUGCAUUUGAUACUAGUUGACUUGAGUAUGGGAGAGGGAAGUGGAAUUCCUGGUGUAGAGGUGAAAGUCGUAGAUAUCAGGGGGAACACCGGUGGCGAAAGCGACUUCCUGGACCAAUACUGACCCUGAGGCGAGAAGGCGUGGGGAGCAAACAGG
This 253-nucleotide ribosomal RNA is filed under the name uncultured bacterium. Its description in RNAcentral is "partial 16S ribosomal RNA". It matches the Rfam family "Bacterial small subunit ribosomal RNA", at positions 524 to 776 of the family's 1533-position model. The record is from RNAcentral.